This 535-nucleotide ribosomal RNA is filed under the name Theloderma asperum (hill garden bug-eyed frog). RNAcentral's name for it is "partial 16S ribosomal RNA". It matches the Rfam family "Bacterial large subunit ribosomal RNA", at positions 1810 to 2576 of the family's 2925-position model. The record is from RNAcentral. Lineage: Eukaryota; Metazoa; Chordata; Amphibia; Anura; Rhacophoridae.
AAAACAUCGCCUCUUGUUUAUCAUAAGAGGUCCAGCCUGCCCAGUGACAAAAUUUAACGGCCGCGGUAACCUAACCGUGCGAAGGUAGCAUAAUCACUUGUCCUUUAAAUAGGGGCUCGUAUCAACGGCACCACGAGGGUUAUACUGUCUCCUUUCUCUAAUCAGUGAAACUGAUCCCCCCGUGAAGAAGCGGGGAUAAAACUAUAAGACGAGAAGACCCCAUGGAGCUUUAAAUUAGCAGCAACUCUACCAUCCACCCCCCCCAUAAAAUAGACGUAUGCAUGCGACUUUUAGGUUGGGGCGACCGCGGAGUAUAAAAUAACCCCCACGACGAAAAGAGCUAAAUCUUUAUCCCAGAGUUCCCCCUCAAAGAAUUAGUACACUAACGAACAAUGACCCGAUCAUCGAUCAACGAACCAAGUUACCCUGGGGAUAACAGCGCAAUCUACUUCAAGAGCCCCUAUCGACGAGUAGGCUUACGACCUCGAUGUUGGAUCAGGGUAACCUAAUGGUGCAGCCGCUAUUAACGGUUCGU